UACGUAGGGUGCGAGCGUUGUCCGGAAUUACUGGGCGUAAAGAGCUUGUAGGUGGUUUGUCGCGUCUGCCGUGAAAGUCCGGGGCUCAACUCCGGAUCUGCGGUGGGUACGGGCAGACUAGAGUGAUGUAGGGGAGACUGGAAUUCCUGGUGUAGCGGUGAAAUGCGCAGAUAUCAGGAGGAACACCGAUGGCGAAGGCAGGUCUCUGGGCCAUAACUGACGCUGAGGAGCGAAAGCU
RNAcentral lists this ribosomal RNA (238 nucleotides) under uncultured bacterium. Its description in RNAcentral is "partial 16S ribosomal RNA". It matches the Rfam family "Bacterial small subunit ribosomal RNA", at positions 524 to 761 of the family's 1533-position model. The record is from RNAcentral.